UCCGGUUUGUCACCGGCAGUCUCCUAUGAGUCCCCAACUUAAUGCUGGCAACGUAGGACGGGGGUUGCGCUCGUUGCGGGACUUAACCCAACAUCUCACGACACGAGCUGACGACAGCCAUGCACCACCUGUACACCGACCACAAGGGGGCCCCUGUCUCCAGGGGUUUCCGGUGUAUGUCAAGCCUUGGUAAGGUUCUUCGCGUUGCGUCGAAUUAAGCCACAUGCUCCGCCGCUUGUGCGGGCCCCCGUCAAUUCCUUUGAGUUUCAGCCUUGCGGCCGUACUCCCCAGGCGGGGCACUUAUCGCGUUAGCUGCGGCACCGAAGGGGUCGCUCCCCCCACACCUAGCACCCAUCGUUUACGGCGUGGACUAC
Molecule: unclassified non-coding RNA, 374 nt
Filed under: uncultured Actinomycetes bacterium
Lineage: Bacteria; Bacillati; Actinomycetota; Actinomycetes
Description: uncultured actinobacterium contains 16S-23S intergenic spacer region
Source: RNAcentral